GGUUUUCUUUCUGCAGAGCUGGGAGCUGGCAGGGGGGGAUUUGUCUCAAAUCGAGCUGUGUGUGCAUUUUGGGUUGCCAGGCAGGUUCUCCCAGAGUGAUCACAGCUCGGGGCAGCUGAGCACAGCUGCAGAGCUGAGCAAACUUUGGGGGAAAUUCCUCUUUUUUUGGGGGGUCAGCAUCUUCUACUCUGCACCAGCAGCCCCCUUGUCUCACUUUAGGUCUCCCAUUAUUGUUCUAAAAGCUCUGAGAUGGUCCCCAGAGGCGAAAAUAGGAAUUGAAGGAAGGAUAAAAUGCUGAUCUGGAGCUGCUCAUGCCCCUCGGGAGGUACACAAACAUCCACUUGGAAUGGGGCCCAUCUGGAUAACAGCAAGAAUUGUUCAGGAGCAAAAUCUGGAGAGCAAUUAGGCAGUGGCAAUCCAGCACAGACAGAGAGAAUUGUCCCGAAAAAGGAACAUUCCCAGAGGCAGAAAAUCUGCAGCUCUUCGGGAUAAAGGAUUUGAAGGGGAUACAGACUCCUGCCUUGGAGAGAGAAGCUCAGAAAAGUUGCCCUGAAGACUCACUUUCAUUCCAGAGGGAAUUUUUCUGUCCACAGCAGCUUUUUGAUGCAAGGGAAUGACCUGGAAUAAUUUCUUGCCUGGCCACAGUGGCACUGACACACUCAAACUGCAGCCCUGGGUGGUGGCACCCAUCAGUGGCAAUGUGGUGGCAGUAACAGAGGGAAAAAUGUCCUCAAUUCUGCUCUAGAAUGAAAAGAUCCAGCCUUGCAGCUAAGAAAACCCCUGCCAGGAAAAAAAAUUAAAAAAAAAAAAUUAAAGAUCAUUUGAAACCAUUAAAGACCAUUUAAAGCAUUUUUAC
This 856-nucleotide long non-coding RNA is filed under the name Chloebia gouldiae (Gouldian finch). RNAcentral describes it as "Erythrura gouldiae (Gouldian finch) lncRNA (ENSEGOG00005013342.1)". The record is from RNAcentral. Lineage: Eukaryota; Metazoa; Chordata; Aves; Passeriformes; Passeridae.